Molecule: non-coding RNA, 2198 nt
Organism: Chlorocebus sabaeus (green monkey)
Lineage: Eukaryota; Metazoa; Chordata; Mammalia; Primates; Cercopithecidae
Source: RefSeq, a predicted model, not a curated record
CUAGAUCUGCAUUAAGCACCUGUUUCUCUGCAAAGUCACAGACAGCUCUCUGCUUUAACAGCACUUUUUAUUUUUUUUUGGUUCCCUCUUCAAGAGCAUUUGGAUAAUAAAAGAAAAGGCCAUUACCCUACACACACACCCACUACCAGCUGCAUUGAGAACAGGAAUGUGAAUUCUGUCAAGUAGUUGGCAGAGGAAGCCCAGCUCCCAGCUCCAAGCAGCCACACCACAAAUGGCGUCAACUUCAGGCUGUAUUUUGUGUCCUCUCUGAGGUCCCUUUUCUGAAAGGCUGGUGCUGUUUGCUGGGGGUUUACUUCAGGCCCUAUUCAUUUGGUUCGCUCCUGUGCCUGGAGAUGUCACUCAAGGAGGCUACAGAACAACAAAGGUGGAUGCCUGCUCUUUCCUCUGGGAUCUCUGACCUCCAGGGGCACCAACCUGAUGCCGGUAAUGCCAGUCGUCUAGUCUGCUCUGAUGAGAGAAGCUGGUUACCUCAGUUGCUGGUGCAAGAUUCCCAUGCUAUUACGGUUUUUUUCAAUGGGAGCCUCUGAUCGCCACUGCUUCUAGUCGGCCAUUUUGGCCCCGCCGCCAACUAAGAGCUUUUUAACAUUAAACUCUCUAUCAUAUAUUUUCAAAUAGGCAAUUAAAAGAAGAAAAAUAAUUUUUCAAAAGAAAACAGUUGUCACAGACCUUUAGUUAAGAUGCGCAUUUGAAUGACCAGGGAAAUUCUAAAAGAUAUUUAUUGUGGCUUUAACAUUUGAUACAAGGACAGAAUUAUUUUUAAAAACCCCUUAUAUUCUAUAAUUGUGGCACCUUUGUAGACUAGAAAAAUAACUAUAAAAUCUCCAGGCGUAGAAAAAAGAAUAAGUUCUAGUGUUUUCAAAUAUCCCAUGCAAGACAUGAUACAAUGUUCAAAGAAGAAAAAUGAUCUCCCAGCAUUAGGGAAGCAGAAAGGUGGUGGGUGGAACCAGCCACAGUCAUGACUCAGUUGGCCUUGACUGCCUCUUAGAAUUUCAGGAUAUUUGUGCUCUGUGCCUAAUGACCACAGUGUCUUAGGCUGCAUACCUUUUACCUGUUUUUUCACUGUGUGUCAACUAAUUAUUGAGUAAGAAACAAGAUAAAUCUCUGUAAAUUAUAUCUAUUAGAGCCUGACUCUAGGAAAGAAGCACCCCCUUCACAAUCCCCUUCACAAUCACAGUUCCUGAGCAUAGCACUUAUAUCUGCAUGAGGGCUUUCUGUAGCCCUGAGAGUCCAAGUGUGGUGCUCCCUGGGAAUGCUGGAGAGCUAAUGCUCCCUAGGAACAGCUUCUAACCAGUAAAUGGCAGGAGUCAGUAGGUUAAUACCAGAUCCUUUGUCACUUGGUUGGACAGCUCUCAGGCAUGUUCUAUAUUGUCUCCCAGAGGUCACCAGCAGAACUGAUUCCUGAUUGCCCACAGCAAUAAUCUACUGAAUACAAACUCUUCCCUGGCCUCCUUCUCUUUCCUGUCUCAUUCCUCCCCUCUCUUACCAGUGCUGCUUGGGAUCACCUGCUAAAUAAGCUACUUGAAUUCCCUUUUAUGUAGGCAAGUAUUGUUUUUGGAGAUCAACCCAAGAUAAGACUUGUAGGCUCCAGAACCCCUGAUAACAUAGGCACCUACAUGGACCAAAUACACAGCCCUUUCAUAUGAUGCAGGUACCACUAGGUUAAAUUUGGAUUAAAAUGAUGUAUUAGUCCAUUCUCACACACUAUAACAAUACUACCCAAGACUGGGUAAUUUAUAAAGGAAAGAGAUUUAGUUGACUCAAUUUACAUGGCUGGGGAGGCCUCAGGAAACCCAUAAUCAUGGUGGAAGGGGGAACAAGGACCUUCCUCACAUGGCAGUAGGAGAGAGAGAAAAACGAAGGAGGAAUUUCCUAACACUUAUUAAACCAUCAGAUCUCAUGAGAACUCACUCACUAUCAUGAGAACAGCAUGGGAGAAACUGUCCCCCACCCCCAAUCCAAUCACCUCCCUUCCUUGACACAUGGGGAGUACAGGUCUCUUCCUAGACACGUGGGAAUUACAAUUCAAGAUGAAAUUUGGGUGGGGACACAGAGCCAAACCAUACCAAGUGAAAAUCCACAUUUAGCCUCUAUUAACAGGAGUGAACCUAUUAUCCCAGCACUUUGGGAGGCCAGGGCUGAAGGAUCACGUAAGUCUAGGAGUUUGAGACAAUCCUGAC